Molecule: long non-coding RNA, 568 nt
Filed under: Malus domestica (apple)
Lineage: Eukaryota; Viridiplantae; Streptophyta; Magnoliopsida; Rosales; Rosaceae
Description: long non-coding RNA (MDOM_LNC018814)
Source: RNAcentral
CUUCAAGUAGGAAACCUCAAAUCUUCAACUCUUCAAUUUCAUCCCAACCUUGCGUUCCAAGCAUGUCCUUUUCACUUCAAGCUCACUUUCUGCUCCAAAAGCUCCAAAUUGCAUCAUUUCAUGUAAUACGUCCGCUAAACCUGAAAACACAAGAAAGUAGCUUAAAAGACUACUUUAACGAAGAAAACAUAACAAAGAUGCAUAAGAACUAGCUAACUAAGGCGCAUAAAUAUGCUCCUAUCAGACUCCAAGCAUGUGAUAUCCAUUUUAUGCUCAAAACUGCUUUAAAAGGCUCCAAUUGCACUUUCUCGCCAACUUUGUCAUUUGGACCUACAAACACACGAAAAUAGCUUAAAACACUAUAAUAACCACAAACUAACUAUAAAAGUGCAAGAAAACAAGCUAACUAAGUUGCAUAAAUAUGCUCCUAUCAACCCUUCUCCUAUAGGGUUGAGGUGCGAUGUCAGGUAAAAGUAUAUUAAUUUUAAAAUUUUAUUUUAUUAUUAUUGAUUAAUAACAUUUCUUAAUUUUUUUUUCUUUAGGAGGGUUCUAAGUUCCUAAAGCUCGA